AGAAUCAACGCUGGCGGCGUGCCUAACACAUGCAAGUCGCACGAGAAAGGGUAGCAAUACCUGAGUACAGUGGCGCACGGGUGAGUAACACGUGAAUAAUCUACCUCCGAGUGGGGAAUAACUGAGAGAAAUCUUAGCUAAUACCGCAUAAUACCCACGGGUCAAAGCAGCAAUGCGCUUGGAGAGGAGUUCGCGGCAGAUUAGUUAGUUGGCGGGGUAAUGGCCCACCAAGACGAUGAUCUGUAUCCGGCCUGAGAGGGCGCACGGACACACUGGAACUGAAACACGGUCCAGACUCCUACGGGAGGUAGCAGUGGGGAAUUUUGCGCAAUGGGGGAAACCCUGACGCAGCAACGCCGCGUGGAGGAUGAAGCCCCUUGGGGUGUAAACUCCUUUCGAUCGGGAAGAUAAUGACGGUACCGAUAUAAGAAGCCCGGCUAACUUCGCGCCAGCAGCCGC
RNAcentral lists this ribosomal RNA (459 nucleotides) under uncultured bacterium. Its description in RNAcentral is "SSU rRNA". It matches the Rfam family "Bacterial small subunit ribosomal RNA", at positions 26 to 518 of the family's 1533-position model. The record is from RNAcentral.